UCGACACCUACCCGUAUUAAACUAAUCG
Molecule: small RNA, 28 nt
Filed under: Bombyx mori (domestic silkworm)
Lineage: Eukaryota; Metazoa; Arthropoda; Insecta; Lepidoptera; Bombycidae
Description: ovarian small RNA-28276
Source: RNAcentral